RNAcentral lists this ribosomal RNA (465 nucleotides) under uncultured bacterium. Its description in RNAcentral is "partial 16S ribosomal RNA". It matches the Rfam family "Bacterial small subunit ribosomal RNA", at positions 338 to 795 of the family's 1533-position model. The record is from RNAcentral.
CCUACGGGAGGCAGCAGUGGGGAAUAUUGCGCAAUGGGCGAAAGCCUGACGCAGCGACGCAGCGUGAGGGAUGAAGGUCUUCGGAUCGUAAACCUCUGUCAGCAGGGAAGAACGGUCACUGUGCUAAUCAGCAGUGAAUUGACGGUACCUGCAAAGGAAGCACCGGCUAACUCCGUGCCAGCAGCCGCGGUAAUACGGAGGGUGCGAGCGUUAAUCGGAAUUACUGGGCGUAAAGCGCUCGUAGGCGGUAUGUCAAGUCAAGGGUGAAAUCCCCGCGCUCAACGUGGGAACUGCCUUUGAAACUGGCAAACUGGAGUGUGUGAGAGGAUAGUGGAAUUCCAGGGGUAGGAGUGAAAGCCGUAGAUAUCUGGAGGAACAUCAGUGGCGAAGGCGACUAUCUGGCACAUAACUGACGCUGAGGGGCGAAAGCGUGGGUAGCAAACAGGAUUAGAUACCCGAGUAGUC